UUUGGUCAAGCUCAUCCAAGAGCUACUGGCUAUGGCUUCCCUGGUAGUUCUUACAGAGCUUGGAGAAAGCGAUCAAAGACACGCCCUUCUAGGAGAGAGAGAGAGAUAUAGAGAGAGAGAGAGAAAGAGAAAGAGAGGUGGGCCUUUUUUUAUUUUUUUAAUGGUUAAAAUAAAUAAAUAAAUAUUAAAUUUUAAGAAUGUUAGGUCCAGUUNGCAAAGGGGGAGAUUGUUAGGUCCAGUUAGUGUUGCGUCUUGGGCUCGUUAGCUAGUCCAGUUUAGUCUCCGGUAUGGGCUUGUCCAUCCGUGAGUUAUUUUGUAGGGUUUAUUACUUAUAG
This 335-nucleotide long non-coding RNA is filed under the name Lactuca sativa (garden lettuce). Its description in RNAcentral is "long non-coding RNA (LSAT_LNC010329)". The record is from RNAcentral. Lineage: Eukaryota; Viridiplantae; Streptophyta; Magnoliopsida; Asterales; Asteraceae.